UCUUGACUAGUAUAUCGGUUUAGUACAGCCGCUUGUCAUAAAGGAAAGGAAAUCAAUAAGCUAUACGCGGCAGAGCUGGGUUCGACUCCCAGGUCGAGAG
This is a non-coding RNA of Mycena metata, 100 nucleotides long. Lineage: Eukaryota; Fungi; Basidiomycota; Agaricomycetes; Agaricales; Mycenaceae. The record is from the annotation of a GenBank genome assembly.